This 395-nucleotide ribosomal RNA is filed under the name Morenia ocellata. Its description in RNAcentral is "partial 12S ribosomal RNA". It matches the Rfam family "Bacterial small subunit ribosomal RNA", at positions 836 to 1384 of the family's 1533-position model. The record is from RNAcentral. Lineage: Eukaryota; Metazoa; Chordata; Testudines; Geoemydidae.
CCCUAAACCCAAAUAUUUAAUAUACAAAAAUAUCCGCCAGAGAACUACGAGCAACAACGCUUAAAACUCAAAGGACUUGGCGGUACCUCAAACCCACCUAGAGGAGCCUGUUCUAUAAUCGAUGAUCCACGAUACACCCCACCAUCUCUUGCCAAUACCGCCUAUAUACCUCCGUCGCCAGCCUACCCCAUGAGGGAAUAAAAAGUAAGCAAAAUAACUAAACAAUACAGCUAAUAAGUCAGGUCAAGGUGUAGCUAACGAGAUGGAAGAAAUGGGCUACAUUUUCUAUACUAGAAAUUAAUUCACAGAAGGAAACCAUGAAAUUGAUCCCAUAAGCAGGAUUUAGCAGUAAACCCGGAUCAGAAUGCCUAAUUUAAACCGGUCCUGAGGUGCGC